Molecule: ribosomal RNA, 461 nt
Filed under: uncultured bacterium
Lineage: Bacteria
Description: bacterial SSU rRNA
Rfam family: Bacterial small subunit ribosomal RNA
Source: RNAcentral
UGCAGUCGAGCGGUAGAGAGAAGCUUGCUUCUCUUGAGAGCGGCGGACGGGUGAGUAAUGCCUAGGAAUCUGCCUGGUAGUGGGGGAUAACGUUCGGAAACGGACGCUAAUACCGCAUACGUCCUACGGGAGAAAGCAGGGGACCUUCGGGCCUUGCGCUAUCAGAUGAGCCUAGGUCGGAUUAGCUAGUUGGUGAGGUAAUGGCUCACCAAGGCGACGAUCCGUAACUGGUCUGAGAGGAUGAUCAGUCACACUGGAACUGAGACACGGUCCAGACUCCUACGGGAGGCAGCAGUGGGGAAUAUUGGACAAUGGGCGAAAGCCUGAUCCAGCCAUGCCGCGUGUGUGAAGAAGGUCUUCGGAUUGUAAAGCACUUUAAGUUGGGAGGAAGGGCAGUUACCUAAUACGUGAUUGUUUUGACGUUACCGACAGAAUAAGCACCGGCUAACUCUGUGCCAGCA